This 382-nucleotide ribosomal RNA is filed under the name uncultured eukaryote. RNAcentral's name for it is "partial 18S ribosomal RNA". It matches the Rfam family "Eukaryotic small subunit ribosomal RNA", at positions 592 to 976 of the family's 1831-position model. The record is from RNAcentral.
UGUAAGCGUAUACCAAAGUUGUUGCAGUUAAAACGCUCGUAGUCGGAAUUUGGCAGUUCCGGAUGUGUGCACGUCGUGUGCGCACUUCGCGGGGAUUGCUUUUGUGGUCUUGCGUAGGAUGAGGCACUUUUAUUAGUGAACGUCCUCACGCAACCACUUUUUACUGUGAGAAAAUCAGAGUGCUCAAAGCAUGCAUUUGCCGUGAAUGUAUUAGCAUGGAAUAAUAGAAUAGGACUUGGUUCUAUUUUGUUGGUUUGUUGGGACUGAGUAAUGAUUAAGAGGGACAGUUGGGGGCAUUUGUAUUUCGGUGCUAGAGGUGAAAUUCUUAGAUUACCGAAAGACAAACUGCUGCGAAAGCGUCUGCCAAGGAUGUUUUCAUUGA